CCAAUCAAGGUGUCACUUUGGCCCAUCGCUUUUAAAUUUCUUUCUUUGCAAUUUUCCUCAGUGGAGUUGUUUCUACCAUUAAGACAAUUGGGCAUGAUAUAACGUUAUGCAUAUUUUCCCACAUCAUUAAGGCUUUUUUUUUCAAGCAUCUUUUUUUUUUUUUAAUUUUUUUUUCAACGUUUUUACUUAUUUUUGGGACAGAGAGAGACAGAGCAUGAACGGGGGAGGGGCAGAGAGAGAGGGAGACACAGAAUCGGAAACAGGCUCCAGGCUCCGAGCCAUCAGCCCAGAGCCUGACGCGGGGCUCGAACUCACGGACCGCGAGAUCGUGACCUGGCUGAAGUCGGACGCUUAACCGACUGCGCCACCCAGGCGCCCCUCAAGCAUCUUUUUUUAAGGCCUCAUAAUCUUCCUACAGGGGACGCUGAAUUCCAUAACCACUGCCCUAUUGUUAGACUGUUUCCAUUUCCCCAGUUGUAACAGGCUAUGAGAUACAGCUUCGUACACAAAUCUUUUCUUCCGCCAUGUCUGCUGGUUACCUUAGGACCCAUUCCCAGGAGGGAAAUUACUGAGCAAAAGCAAAUGAGCAUUUUUCAAGCUACAGAUUCUGGAACUGCUCUCCAGACACACCGCUUCAGUCUCCCAGGGUCUCCACCAACCCAGCCACCUUUGGCUCUGAGGACGUUCUGCAGUGAAAUAACCAUUUCUUUGAGCUCUCAUAAAGCUCUCCAUUCACAUCAAGCUUCAGGCUGCCAACCAUCGUUAAUGAAGUGUGAACCUGAAGGACUGAAUCAAGGUGAUCUCACACCACAACUUCUAGAAAACAAAACAGAACAAAAAAACAGCAAACAACAACAAAACUUGCAAUGUUCAGGGAACAUCUCCCUUUUCAUUUUUGCAAGAGGAGAUGACUGUUCGGGCUCUUCCAGCUCAGGAAGCAACACACCGCUGGCGGGCUGCCUUCCACCUUGCACCACGGUGACGAGUUUUCAUUUGGUGAGCUGUAGAAGUCACUCGGCGAAGUUUGCUGCGCCUUGGGUCAAAGGUAAUUUGGCCCCGAGCUGUCACGUUUUAGACCGUUUGCGGUACUUGCUUGCUGUUGUCGAGAAAAGAGAGAAAAGGCAAUCGCCUCCAUAGAAGCAGCCGUUACGCUCUCGGCGGAGCCCCCUCCUUGAUGCUGGUGACGAGGUAUGGCGGGGUGAAGGGUCCCGGGGAACCAAACCUCAGCGAAGGCCCAGCUCAGGCAUGGCCAGUAUCCCCAUGCCAAGAUCUUCCCAGAAGGAGUCUUUAGAGGAUUUAGGUCUCUGAGUGUGGAAAGCUGGUUGGUAGCCAGCACACCUUCUCUAGAGGCGCAGGAACAUCAGGGCUUGCUUUCUUUACCUAGUCCCUACUCACCCUUUGGAAAAAAAUAUUUUCAGAUCAAUUUUAACGUCCCACGGUCGCAGAGCGGCCACCCGUCACCUCUUGCCACAGAUCAACAACCACAUUUCCCCCAACGUCUCCGGCAGAAGGUCCUGCUUGCAGAGGAAGCAAUUCAGCGGGGCUUUGGAAGACAGCCGAGCAGCAGCAGGAGGCCUCCGAAAUCCACAAUUUUAGACUCUCGGGGUGGGCAUUUUCUUGCGGCGUAUUAAGUAACACACCUACUCAAGUUACUCUGUGAACUCAGUGGACAGCUGCCCUUUCAGCGAGAAACGAAUGCCUGCGCUGCACUCUGCCUUCCCCCCGCCCCCCGCC
RNAcentral lists this long non-coding RNA (1734 nucleotides) under Felis catus (domestic cat). RNAcentral's name for it is "lncRNA (ENSFCAG00000052982.1)". The record is from RNAcentral. Lineage: Eukaryota; Metazoa; Chordata; Mammalia; Carnivora; Felidae.